This is a long non-coding RNA of Musa acuminata AAA Group (dessert banana), 369 nucleotides long. RefSeq lists it as uncharacterized. The transcript has 3 exons. Lineage: Eukaryota; Viridiplantae; Streptophyta; Magnoliopsida; Zingiberales; Musaceae. The record is from RefSeq and is a predicted model, not a curated record.
AUUAACCCUAACGAGACCAAGCACGAACCGAAAAGUUAGGCGCAGCGUCUGCCUUCACACUCCGCGCGGCCGACUCCGUUCCGUCUCCUCCUGAUUCAAGAGGGAUUGUCUCGACGACGGCCGGAUCACAGAGGGGAGGCAGAAUGAAUUGGAUCAGCCGAAAGAUCCAUCUCUACAACGUCACCAUGGGGCUCUACAUGCUCGAUUGGUGGGAGCGAUACCUGUUUAAUAUAUUGAUUCUUGUACUGCUCUGGUUUAUCUUCCACAAUGGCUCCAGAUCCGCCGCUGAGUUCUACAACGGCUACCUCAAGUCCAAGGUAUUGUCUGGCCAAAUGUUGGAAGUCAGAGGGAAUAUAACUUCUUAAAGAU